Acanthochromis polyacanthus (spiny chromis) is the source of this 744-nucleotide long non-coding RNA. RefSeq lists it as uncharacterized. The transcript is spliced from 4 exons. The record is from RefSeq and is a predicted model, not a curated record. NCBI's taxonomy places the organism in Eukaryota, Metazoa, Chordata, Actinopteri, Pomacentridae.
GAAGGAAUGUUUGUGGCAGCAUCACAUUCCACAAAAGGAGCAAAUCCGCAUAUUUCCUUCAAUGAAAGACAGAUGACGAGCAAUGAAGCGAUCAACUCGAACAGGCAAGUUUUCAUGUUUGAAAAGGCCAUGUUUUAUAUUUUUGAACUCUGCUUCAGCAGUGGCUGAGCUUGCUGUGAUGCUGGUGCUUUGGAAGAGAGGGACCAUUAUUCCUGUCCAGAGCGGUCAGUCUGGAUCUCAUCACAUGGAUCCACUGUUUUCAUUUCCUCUCUCUCUUCUCCUGGAGUGAUGAUGGAGUCUUCUGCAAUUUGGGCUUUUAGAUAUUUCUUGCACCUUUCUGAUGCGAGAGGGACUCCAGAACUGUUGUCACCCUCUGCCUCACUGAGGGCAACAACAGUGAUAGCACGUAAGAUGUGUUUUGCGUGGUCCAAGGAUUGCGACUGAAGAAGCUGUGCUAAUGACCUGACAAAGAAAUCUUUGACACGAUGUGCUUUGUUUUUCAGGCAAUCCCACUGGCAGAUAAUCUUGAUGUAGUGUGCAACAUCAACCCUGACAAAACAAGGGGGAAAUUUUGCAGACUGGUUCCCACCAUUUGCACCACUGGGACACUGGAGCAGUUGUGUGCUGUCAGAACACCUUGAUAAAGGAAGAUAUGGCCAGAUGUACCAUUUGAUCUCACCAGUUUUCUCACUACUGAGCCAGUUGCAUCAAAACACACUGCUGGGUGAGUUGUCUUAGACAACG